GACGAACGCUGGCGGCGUGCUUAACACAUGCAAGUCGAACGGAAAGGCCCUGCUUUUGUGGGGUGCUCGAGUGGCGAACGGGUGAGUAACACGUGAGUAACCUGCCCUUGACUUUGGGAUAACUUCAGGAAACUGGGGCUAAUACCGGAUAGGAGCUCCUGCUGCAUGGUGGGGGUUGGAAAGUUUCGGCGGUUGGGGAUGGACUCGCGGCUUAUCAGCUUGUUGGUGGGGUAGUGGCUUACCAAGGCUUUGACGGGUAGCCGGCCUGAGAGGGUGACCGGCCACAUUGGGACUGAGAUACGGCCCAGACUCCUACGGGAGGCAGCAGUGGGGAAUAUUGCACAAUGGGCGGAAGCCUGAUGCAGUAACGCCGCGUGCGGGAUGACGGCCUUCGGGUUGUAAACCGCUUUCGCCUGUGACGAAGCGUGAGUGACGGUAAUGGGUAAAGAAGCACCGGCUGACUACGU
RNAcentral lists this ribosomal RNA (467 nucleotides) under uncultured bacterium. RNAcentral's name for it is "partial 16S ribosomal RNA". It matches the Rfam family "Bacterial small subunit ribosomal RNA", at positions 28 to 506 of the family's 1533-position model. The record is from RNAcentral.